This 107-nucleotide long non-coding RNA is filed under the name Oreochromis niloticus (Nile tilapia). Its description in RNAcentral is "lncRNA (ENSONIG00000041357.1)". Lineage: Eukaryota; Metazoa; Chordata; Actinopteri; Cichliformes; Cichlidae. The record is from RNAcentral.
AGGAUUUCUGUUUUGAUUUCACAUCUGGUGGAGCCAGAUUCUUUCAUUAUAGUGGAACAUCCAUGACAGUUAAUGUCUCUAAGAAGUCCAGUCGUCGUUCUGACUGG